GACAACCACACCGGUGGCCUAAUGUUUAGAGCGUUCGCCUCGGAUGCGAGAGCUCGUGGGUUCGAUCCCCGGUCGAGCCA
Potamilus streckersoni is the source of this 80-nucleotide non-coding RNA. The record is from the annotation of a GenBank genome assembly. Lineage: Eukaryota; Metazoa; Mollusca; Bivalvia; Unionida; Unionidae.